GAUGAACGCUGGCGGCGUGCCUAAUACAUGCAAGUCGAGCGAAUGGAUUAAGAGCUUGCUCUUAUGAAGUUAGCGGCGGACGGGUGAGUAACACGUGGGUAACCUGCCCAUAAGACUGGGAUAACUCCGGGAAACCGGGGCUAAUACCGGAUAACAUUUUGAACCGCAUGGUUCGAAAUUGAAAGGCGGCUUCGGCUGUCACUUAUGGAUGGACCCGCGUCGCAUUAGCUAGUUGGUGAGGUAACGGCUCACCAAGGCAACGAUGCGUAGCCGGCCCGAGAGGGGGAUAGGCCGAACUGGGGACGAGACACGGCCCAGACCCCUACGGGGGGCAGCCGUAGGGAAUCUUCCGCAAUGGACGAAAGUCUGACGGAGCAACGCCGCGUGAGUGAUGAAGGCUUUCGGGUCGUAAAACUCUGUUGUUAGGGAAGAACAAGUGCUAGUUGAAUAAGCUGGCACCUUGACGGUACCUAACCAGAAAGCCACGGCUAACUACGUGCCAGCAGCCGCAGUAA
This 515-nucleotide ribosomal RNA is filed under the name uncultured bacterium. RNAcentral describes it as "partial 16S ribosomal RNA". It matches the Rfam family "Bacterial small subunit ribosomal RNA", at positions 28 to 523 of the family's 1533-position model. The record is from RNAcentral.